RNA transcript from Brassica rapa (field mustard), 4290 nucleotides. It is a transcript of the gene named rac-like GTP-binding protein ARAC10, with no coding region annotated. Lineage: Eukaryota; Viridiplantae; Streptophyta; Magnoliopsida; Brassicales; Brassicaceae. The record is from RefSeq and is a predicted model, not a curated record.
GUAAUACAAUAUUAUACAUUAUUUUUUAGAAUUAAAAAAUACAUAUAAUAUCUUAUCCGCGCGUAGCGCGGUUAAAAAAUCUAGUCUUAAAUAAAAUUUUAUAGUUCAAACACUAGAGUCAUUCUAAGUAAUUUAUAUUUAAUAAAUGAAUAUCUUAAAAUAAAAUUUUAUAGUUCAAACACUAUUUUUGUAUUUUCAGCUUUAACUAGAAACGGUAUAUUUAUGUUUAUAAUCAAGUAGGAUUAACAUUUCAUUGUAGAGAAAUUAAUACUCCCUCUCUUAUAAAAUAUUUGUUGAAAUGAUGGUUUCAGCUGUUUUAAUUUCGUUUCUAUAUAUUUAUGUGAUAUAGAGAAUAAUAACAAAACAUGUAUUCGACAGUUGAAACAUGUUUACGUAUAUGAUAUCAGCAUGCCACUGUUGCUCACCGUGACUAUUAUUAACUUGCGAGAAUAGCUAUCUCGGCACAUUUCUAUAGUUGAUGGUAAAUAUUGGUGGCAUAAGAGGAUACUAAUGCUUUUUGGUUUCAUUAAUGUAUCAGUUUAACUUUUUUAUUUUUUGUCAAAAAAAAAAAAAUCGAACCGAGCCAACAAACACACAUAACAACAACAACAACAAAAAAAACUAAAAUAAAAUACAGAUGUUUAUUUAAUGAAAUACAAGAUUAUUACAGUCUUUUUAUAUUCGAAUAGAACUGACAUAAUUUUCUUGGAAAUAUUGUAAAGAGGAAACAGAAAAGAAAAAAAAGCAGGGGCUUCUUUGUAUGUAUGUUCUGUUGUGCGGUUUGCUUUAUAUUUUAACUCAUCUUCCUCGUUAAAGUAAAUCCCAUUUAUUUCCUUUUUAUUCUUCUUCUUCUUCGUCUUCUUGGGUUUGGCUGUGUAUGUGUGUGUUGAGAUUCAUUCAAUCAAUGGCUUCAAGUGCUUCAAAGUUCAUAAAAUGCGUGACGGUUGGUGAUGGCGCCGUUGGUAAAACCUGUAUGCUCAUCUGCUACACCAGCAACAAAUUCCCUACUGACUACAUACCAACAGUUUUUGACAACUUUAGUGCAAACGUUGUAGUUGAAGGCACCACUGUGAACCUAGGGCUGUGGGACACUGCUGGACAAGAAGACUAUAACAGAUUAAGGCCUUUGAGUUACAGAGGAGCAGAUGUUUUCGUCCUGUCUUUCUCCUUGGUCAGCCGAGCUAGCUACGAGAAUGUUUUUAAAAAGUGGAUCCCUGAACUCCAACACUUUGCCCCUGGAGUUCCAUUAGUCCUUGUUGGUACCAAAUUAGAUCUUCGUGAAGAUAAGCAUUAUUUGGCUGACCAUCCUGGACUAUCCCCUGUAACUACUGCACAGGGAGAGGAAUUGCGUAAGCUAAUAGGUGCGACAUAUUACAUUGAAUGUAGCUCAAAAACUCAACAGUUUUUGAUUCGGCGAUCAAGGAAGUGAUCAAACCGGUGGUUAAACAAAAGGAGAAGACCAAUAACAAGAAGAAGCAAAAGUCUAAUCAUGGCUGUUUAUCAAACGUUCUGUGUGGGAGGAUAGUGACUCGGCACUGAUGAUGAUGGCAAAGCCCACUCUUGGGUUUCUGUUAUAACACAUGUAGAUGGAAUCAUGUAAGAGAGAUGAUUAGCCUCUAAUCAAUCAAUAGUUUACAUUGAAGAGAUACAGAGAGAGAGAGAGAGAGAGCUUACUAUUACUAACUCAACUAUGUUUAACUGUUUCAGUCCACUAUAUUAGCCUUUUUGUUUGUAACAGAGAAUAAAAAAGUUCCGAUGAGAGUCUACUAGACAAGAAACGGCUUGAGAACCUGUAUCAGUCGCAAAGACAGUCAAUGAUCAAAACGCAGAGUUUCAUCAAAACAUCACGGAACAUAAUUCCAAUGGGCCGGAGAAACAGUCUUGCUAAACUUGGGCCUUAACCGGCUCAGAGUAAACAUACCUUUUCCUUUCUUUUUGUUUGCACAUUUUUGAAAAGGACCUUUUGUGUUAUCCACGGUAAACAAGUUGAAAGAUAACACUAUUGCCACACUUAUACAUCACGUCACAAACUAUAGAAACUAGUGUGCAUCAUUACUUAUUUAUUUUCGAGUUGGUGAGAUCGGAGUUCCAUCUUUUCAUUGGGUAUGGGGAACAGAGAAAGACAGGAGCAGAUUGGCUCUUAGAUCUAAACCAACCAUGAGCCAGCCUUUCUGUUUUUUGUUUUCUCAUAAAAUUUGACCCUCCUUACUAUAUAGUGUAUAAUAAAACUAACUCGCUCAUAAAAAAUGCGUUAUAAACUUAUAACUAAUAUUAUCAUUUAUCAACGCGUUUUGAGAAUAGUAACACUUUUCAAACGCCUUACAUCCAAGUGUAAAUCAGACACUGCAGUAUUACGGAUUGUAUAUUUUGAAAACGUGUGUUAUCAUAUCAAUCAAACCCGUCAUCAUGUUAGCUAAAUUGGUUUUUAUGAGAUUGUAAUCUUAUUAAAUUUUGUGGGGAAGAAAAGUAGAGAAGGCACAUGAGAGUUUUUGUAUUGUGUAAUUUCCCAAAGGUACGCCAAAAAAAAGCUUGCUCUCCCACCCCCAUGUGCACCCUCUCCUCAGUCCCCACUUUUUCCCUUUUUCGAUUAAAUUAAUUAGUUGAUUUCUAUUUCAUCUUUUUCUGUCGGCUUUUAAUUUCCUAAAAACACUUUUGUUUGUUUUUUCAUUCUUGUAUCACACUUUUUAGGCCUGGGUUCACACUCACAGUAAUAAUAACUCAAUAAUACUUCCCACUCGUAGGACUACUACAACAAAUUAGAGAAUUUUUGUAACUAUUUUUUGAGCAAAAGAAAUCUCGAAACAAAUUAAACAAUAACUUAUUUUAAAGAUAGACAGCAAAAAAAGAUAGAAUUGAUAUCAAAUCAUGCUACAUAACAAAAUGAUAAAAUUUCAGAACGUUGGUCGAUAUAUAUCAACUUUGACAACAACUUGUGAGUUUCCAAUUUCAAUGAUUAUUAUAGUAUUGAAAACCCGCUCCUACAAAAUACUUGAUGGCUCAAAUACAUGAUUCGCUAAUUAGUGGUUUAAUUAGCAUUCUUGUUUAAUUUUUCAAGCCAGAUUCUCAAUCACGUGCAAAGUUCCUUCAAACAAUCUUAGCUGGUUAGCUAGCCAUCAAUUAAUUACCGAGUUUUCAUGUCGGAUACUCAAAAUUAAUUAUAUAUACUACGUACAUGACUGACUGACGUAAUUAAAUAAUGUAUUCAUAUCUCAUUUCAAAUGUUCAAAUCUUGUGUUUUGCCUUAAAGGCUCGCAUGAAUAACGUGUGAAAGACCAUAUCAAGAAAAUUCGAAUCGAACCCAUUCAACGAAACAUGAGAUUUUUUAAUAUGUUUAUAUUUCGGGUAAAACAGGUAAUUGUUUAUUGUGCAUGCAAAUGUAAAAAGUAUUAGUCUAAAGUGUCUAACACAUACGCGUUUUUGUUUGUGCUGUUUAUAAACGUGGGUUUCCUAUCAUAUAAGUAUUUUACAAAGAAAUAUAAACUUCUUUUUUUGACAACAAAACAUUUAAAGACUCGUAUAAACUCCAUAAAUUAAAUUAGUAAUUUUGCAUCUAUGUGAAUGACGAAAAACAAUUGUUUAUACAUUGCAAUAUAAACAAUAUUUAUACAUUGCAAUUUGUCGGCAAGAUAUAUAUACACAAGGUGAGAGUCAAAACAGCUGUGCUAGUAAUUACCAUAAAUUCAUUUGAAAACGAUGCAUCAUUGACAAAAACAUUGAGCUAGAACUUAAAACAAACAAUAAUAGUAACUGUAAUGUAGAAAAUCAAAAUAAAAUAUAAACAUAGCUCCUCUUAAUAGUAACCUUGUUUAUCUUGAUAAAGUUGUACUCGAGAAGCUUGUUGGCCAAAUUAAAAAUUGAGUCCCAUCAGCCAGUGGAAAUGUGGAAUAUAUCUCGUCCAACUAAAUCGAUUACAAAUAUUGUCGUUUUUACGUUAAAAGUAUAUCUUUAUAAUUGUUUUAUGUAAAGAUCACGGGAUUACAAAUGAAAAAGGUGGACGUGACAUAUAUCUUUUAUGUGUGUUCCUCGUUAUCUCUAGUUUUAUGCUUUAUGUAUACAAUUUAGACAAUACCACUUAAGAUUCUCCAAUCGAGUUUAGUAUAAAAUCAGACCAUGUGGAUGACUUCAAGUGAUGCCCUAUUUACCAUGUUGAUAGUAAUCACAAAGAAUCUAUUCGAUCUACUGUAUCCAAUUUUUUUUUUAAAACACUAUUACUGCAUUGAUAUAUAAAUGUUACAAGCUGAUAAAAGAGGAUCGACAUCAAUCAAAUCGUGCCUAUACAAAAAGGUGGCU